Molecule: ribosomal RNA, 460 nt
Filed under: uncultured bacterium
Lineage: Bacteria
Description: partial 16S ribosomal RNA
Rfam family: Bacterial small subunit ribosomal RNA
Source: RNAcentral
CCUACGGGGGGCAGCAGUGAGGAAUAUUGGUCAAUGGACGAGAGUCUGAACCAGCCAAGUAGCGUGAAGGAUGACUGCCCUAUGGGUUGUAAACUUCUUUUAUAUGGGAAUAAAAUGUUCCACGUGUGGGAUUUUGUAUGUACCAUAUGAAUAAGGAUCGGCUAACUCCGUGCCAGCAGCCGCGGUAAUACGGAGGAUCCGAGCGUUAUCCGGAUUUAUUGGGUUUAAAGGGACCGUAGGUGGAUUGUUAAGUCAGUUGUGAAAGUUUGCGGCUCAACCGUAAAAUUGCAGUUGAAACUGGCAGUCGUGAGUACAGUAGAGGUGGGCGGAAUUCGUGGUGUAGCGGUGAAAUGCUUAGAUAUCAGGAAGAACUCCGAUUGCGAAGGCAGCUCACUGGACUGCAACUGACACUGAGGCUCGAAAGUGUGGGUAUCAAACAGGAUUAGAUACCCUUGUAGUC